CAAAGCCGGCCCCCUCUCUAAGUCUCCUAGUCCGAGCCAUUCAUCAUUGAUCAUGCAGAGGCCUGAGACUAGAAAUCGUGCGUCAAAGUGUAAAGACCCGCCUCCCUAUGAAGACGCCGUUAAACAGAUAUGUGAAGCUUUAGCAGCCGCUCAGGGACCAACUGCUGCUAGCCAGCAUAUGGAUGAUCUGAUUGACGUGUUGAUAGAGAGCGGAGGUAAGGAAUACACCACAAUUUAUAUUCUCCUUUGUCCUCAUGCCUAAUCCAAUCCCAUCUCACAUGAGAAUGUGACACUGUCAGGAAA
This 303-nucleotide long non-coding RNA is filed under the name Gouania willdenowi (blunt-snouted clingfish). RNAcentral describes it as "lncRNA (ENSGWIG00000011635.1)". The record is from RNAcentral. Lineage: Eukaryota; Metazoa; Chordata; Actinopteri; Blenniiformes; Gobiesocidae.